UUCCCAUCACUACCAACCACACACUUGAAUAAGAAACCACAGAACACAAAAAGAACGUGCAACUUCCGCCUGAAAACCCGCCUAUUUAAGAAUUCGAUCGGAGUUGUGACAACUCCGUUCACUCCAAUGGACCAGUUUUUUACAGCAAUGGCGGAUCGUGGAGCCGCUCAAUAGUUCCCGGAAGUUAGCGCUCAUACUAUCAGCGCCGUAGAGAUGCAGCAGAAGAGACCGCUGUGAUGAACUAUUAAAAGAACAAGAACCACCUGAAGACUG
Molecule: long non-coding RNA, 273 nt
Organism: Sinocyclocheilus rhinocerous
Lineage: Eukaryota; Metazoa; Chordata; Actinopteri; Cypriniformes; Cyprinidae
Exons: 3
Source: RefSeq, a predicted model, not a curated record